GGGGCCAUAGCUCAGCUGGGAGAGCACCUGCUUUGCAAGCAGGGGGUCGACGGUUCGAUCCCGUCUGGCUCCA
The sequence is a transfer RNA, 73 nucleotides long. It matches the Rfam family "tRNA". Rfam says of the family: Transfer RNA (tRNA) molecules are approximately 80 nucleotides in length. Their secondary structure includes four short double-helical elements and three loops (D, anti-codon, and T loops). The record is from Rfam.